Molecule: non-coding RNA, 231 nt
Organism: Arachis ipaensis
Lineage: Eukaryota; Viridiplantae; Streptophyta; Magnoliopsida; Fabales; Fabaceae
Source: RefSeq, a predicted model, not a curated record
UUUUCUCUGUCUCUCUUUAUAUAUGUACAAAAUAUAUAUCAAAUUCAAUUCACUUGAUAACUUUUGAAUCUGAUCUUAGUUCCUUACUCAAGAAAAAUGGCCAAAAAUACAAUACACAUUUUAGGACUCUUAUUAUUAGCUAUGGUUGUUCUCAAUCCUUCAAAAGUAGCUGCUUGUAGAAAUUAUCCUGAAAUUUCUUCUAACUCUUAAAGCAGAAAAAUGGGAAACAAA